GAAAGUACAGCUCAGUGGUAGAGUGUGUGCCUAGCACGCGUGAGGUCCUGGGUUCAAUCCCUAGUACCGCCA
Molecule: transfer RNA, 72 nt
Filed under: Camelus bactrianus (Bactrian camel)
Lineage: Eukaryota; Metazoa; Chordata; Mammalia; Artiodactyla; Camelidae
Also listed under: 2 other names
Rfam family: tRNA
About the family: Transfer RNA (tRNA) molecules are approximately 80 nucleotides in length.
Source: Rfam by way of RNAcentral